Molecule: long non-coding RNA, 247 nt
Organism: Lynx canadensis (Canada lynx)
Lineage: Eukaryota; Metazoa; Chordata; Mammalia; Carnivora; Felidae
Exons: 3
Source: RefSeq, a predicted model, not a curated record
AUGCUGGUGACAUAUGUGGGUGUUUCACAGGUGGGAAGAGAAGGUUCCAGAAGAGCGUGGGCCCCAAGUGACCUGAUUUGGUUGUACAUGUUAAAAAUAAGAAGGCGAUCUCAGAGGGCCAAGAGGAAGAAAGAGCGUGGGCCCAACUAGGUCAGGCAGACGGAGAUGGGACAAGGCCAGGCGUUCACAAGUGGACCUCCAAGGGAGGGUCCAUGGAGGCCGAGGUUCCCGUCUGGGGUCCAGGCUC